This is a non-coding RNA of Delphinapterus leucas (beluga whale), 2663 nucleotides long. The record is from RefSeq and is a predicted model, not a curated record. NCBI's taxonomy places the organism in Eukaryota, Metazoa, Chordata, Mammalia, Artiodactyla, Monodontidae.
AGUGAUCCUGGGGCUGAAGUGGGGCAUCGCCAGGCGCACAGGGCCACUUCAGAGAGCUGGUGUGGCAGGGCAGCGGCGAGAUGGGGCUCGGGUGAGCGCGAGAACCGGCGCAAAGCAAGCCUGAAAAGGGUGAGGAGACCCCGGCCUGCCGACCACCUGUUCCUCCUGGGAGUGCGGCGCGCGUUGAUUGGCUGGAGUGCCGACCGGGUACCGGAAGUGGCUGAUGCCCAUAGCCAGUGAAACCCAGACAACAGCUGCGGGUUCUGAGGCAGCGGGCGGAGCAGCGCGGGGAGCCCGCGGGGAGCGCGUGUGGGGCGGUAGCUGCCUGAGAUUGUGAGAUGGGGACUGAGAACAAGGAGACAGUGUUUUCAUCGGUGGACCCAACUUUGCCGGCACCGACACCGACGAAACUCUAAGUCAUCGAACGCGCUCGGCCACCACUGCCUCCGGGACCAAGAGGUACUGAUAAGAGCCUCGUCGAGCCCUGAGGCUGGGGCCGCUCUCGGAAGCCUGGGGACCCUUGUCCGUGCGCCACCUGGCGGGCGGGGGCGGGCCGGGGCGGCGCGCGGCGUGAUUGGUCGAGGCCCGGGGUGCCUUUUUGCUGGUGACCGGUGGGGGCCGGAGGCUGAGGUGGGAGGGCCCCGAGAGUGGGCUACUGCGCGCUGCUGACCCCGAAGUCAAGUACUGGGGCGCCCGCCGGACGGGACCUGGGCUGGCGUCUCUCAGGCCGCCGUGAUUUGUCGUUUGUGAGGACGUUUCACAUCCCAGGGUGGGAUCUAUUCCGCCGUUCCCUGAUGUUCAUGGAGUCCUUGCCGCCGCCCGGUUUCUUUCGAACUUCCAACCAGGCCUAUUAAGAUACUUAUCUAAUAACUAAUUAUUAAAAUUUAAUUUAGUGGCAGUGGGAAAGGACAUACUCAAGGUACAGAGGGCAGGUUUGGCUUCAGAAAGAAGGAAGAAAGCACUGUCCUCUGAGGCUGGUGGAGGAACUGAGACGACAGAUGUGGAGGGAAUGAGCGCAGGGUGGCCAGCAGAGUUGAUUAUUUGAGGCCUUUUGCUAAGAAGGGUGAUUAUGCAUUGGAGUGGGCAGAUUACCCAAAACAUCAUCUAGAAAGGAGAAAAAUGCUUCUGUGCCCCUGAUCUGCUGGUUAUGUUGGCAUUCUCUGAGCUGGGUUGUGGUGGGGACAGGGUGGAACUUUAGUCACAGGAGGACUAUAAUCCACACUCCACUCCAUUGACUCCCAAGUGGGAGGAAUCCCAGGAGUGCAGCGAAUGUGGGAAAGACCCGAGAGGUCUUCAUGCGGUCGGGUGGAGCUGAGAUUCUCUGCAUCAGAGAGUUCACACUGGUGAGCAACCCUGCUAAUGUAAUGAAUUCCACCUUCAGACAGAAUUCCCACCUUGGAGUUCAUCAGAAAACUUGUACUGGAGAGGCCCUUGGAAUACCAAUGCGGAAAAGCCUCUGAUCAGAACUCUCACCAGUUUCAGCAUCAGAGCAUCCACAGUGCACAGCGAUCUGGGGAUUUACUCACUGUAGGACACUUUCAUUCCGACCUGAAACUUUGCUCUGAUCUUUCCUCUUCUUUACCGAUGUCACUAGACUGGAAAUGCCCUUUGUGCCAGCUAAUUUUGUCCUGCUCCUUGAGGACAGGGCUACCUUGUUGUAGAAGAGCGUAUCGCAUUCAGCCCAGGGUUGCCACUCAAAAAUUAACCAGUGAAUGAAUUAAAUAAAUAAGAGGCCAUAAAUGAUGAAUUGGACAUUUCAAAUUUAAUUAACUGAAUGUAGAAUCAUAAUGCCUUUGCUGUCCUUUAUUUUUCUAUGCAGAUCCUUUAUCCCCUAAAAUGAUGGCCACGGCAUUAAAGGUCUAUAUCACCCAUCUAAUAUAAAUUAUAUCUCUUUAUGUGAUAUGGGGACACGUAAAAUGUUAAACAGUUGAACCAAAACCUUUCUUUAGCUGAGAGAAUUGAUCCACUAUACGAUUUACUCAAAUACAAGAUAGCCACAGAUUGCCUUAAACACACCUCUUUUCCUUGCAACUUUCAGCACUGGAACAAAACAAAACCCAAAUCAGAUACUUCACCUGUACCAUCCUCAAAAUCUUUCUUUCAUAAGAGGCUUUGUUUACUUCUUGAUCUCGUUUCUGUUUUUAUACAUUAUUUCCAUCUUCUUGGAUAUAUUAUAUUUUUUUCUUCAUGUGAGCUAUAUCUUAAAUGUAUUUGCUGGGAUUCAGUAUUCUUAUUUUUGCAGCUGCUUCAGCAUCAUCACAGGCUUAUGUUUUCUUCAUAUGUAGUAGUAUGCUCAGGAUAAUCUUGAAAAUUAGUUGCUCUUGUGUGUUUUGUUUUGUUUUGUUUUUUUGGCUGAGCCACAUAGCUUGUGGGAUCUUAGUUCCCUGAGCAGGGGUUGAACCUGGGCCCUCAACAGUGAAAGCGUGGAGUCCUAACCACUGGAUGGCCAGGGAAUUCCUUGAAAAUUAGUUUUUAAAUGACUUGUUAUUGAAAGGAUUAGAAUCUAUUGCAGGACAAACCAUAUGUUGGGAGCCUCACUAUCUACAGCAGAACCCUGCCAGGCUGGAUGUUCUGUCCAUUGAAUACAGGCAAUGCCUCUUUAACUCCUUUCUUUCUUUCUUUCUUUCUUCCUUUCUCCCUUCCUUCCUCCUUCCUCCUUUCUU